Cornus florida is the source of this 829-nucleotide long non-coding RNA. RefSeq lists it as uncharacterized. The record is from RefSeq and is a predicted model, not a curated record. The transcript is spliced from 2 exons. Lineage: Eukaryota; Viridiplantae; Streptophyta; Magnoliopsida; Cornales; Cornaceae.
UGAAAAAUUUAGCCUUAUAAAAGCUUCCUUGCACCAAUUUCUUCUGCCUAUUUCACACGCACAAACACACACAGAGCUUCGAAGGAGCAGGUGCUUGCAUUGAUUUUCUAGUACUGCUGCUAGAGGAGGCAUCCAAAGGGAUCGCAUUGAUCCAGACUCUCUUUCAUAACUUAGGGUUUUUUUUUUUUUUUUUCAUUUUUCAUUUUUAUUUAUUUAUUCCAAGUUUAUGCAGAAUUUGGAUCAUGCUAUCCCUUUGGAUACUUCCUUUGGUAGCUUCUUCUAACAUGGUAUAUAAUUAUAUAUAUACUCUUGUAUAUAUGGUGCACACUACUCUCCUAUGAUAUCAUGCAACUCAUUUCUGAUCCAUCUGGGCACAGAGACAGACAAUUUUCUUAUACAAACAUCUUCAACCAAUCUGCAGAUUUUGACGAAGUUAUGGGUGGUGAUGAUGGCCAUGGUGGUGGAGCUGUGGGGGUAUUGUUGUAGUAGUAAUAGGCUGGCGACGGCGUUAGUGGUGUGGUAGCUUGUAAUGGCUGUGAUGAUACUAUUUCUUGUGAAAUGCAGCAAGCAAGACACGAUGAUUAACGGAGAUGAAGCCAAUACAAGCAUCCAACUAAAGAUUGCUUCAAACAAAAAUGAUAGCACCAAACACAUCAGAUAGAUUUCCAUUUUCAAGCCUAGUUUCUGAAUUUCUCACCAAGUUGUUUACAAAUGCCUCAAAUACCAGCCCGGACCUUCUCUUCAAAAUCAUGAUAAAUACGAGAUAAUCAUUGCCUCAAGGCACAUCACUGAUCAAUUAUUAAGACAAAAGCAAUUCCUUGUCACAUCA